Molecule: ribosomal RNA, 406 nt
Filed under: uncultured bacterium
Lineage: Bacteria
Description: bacterial SSU rRNA
Rfam family: Bacterial small subunit ribosomal RNA
Source: RNAcentral
AAUGGCCGCAAGGCUGAUCCAGCCAUCCAGCGUGCAGGAAGAAGGCCCUAUGGGUUGUAAACUGCUUUUAUCAGGGAAUAAACCUCUGGAUUCACUCCGGAGCUGAAGGUACCUGAAGAAUAAGCACCGGCUAACUCCGUGCCAGCAGCCGCGGUAAUACGGAGGGUGCGAGCGUUAUCCGGAAUUACUGGGUUUAAAGGGUGCGUAGGCGGCUUUGUAAGUCAGGAGUGAAAGUUUGCGGCUCAACCGUAAAAUUGCUUCUGAUACUGCAUGGCUAGAAUUAGGAUGAGGUCAGCGGAAUGUGGCAUGUAGCGGUGAAAUGCAUAGAUAUGCCAUAGAACACCAAUUGCGAAGGCAGCUGGCUAGACCUGGAUUGACGCUGAGGCACGAAAGCGUGGGGAGCGAA